AAACAACCAGAGAACAGCAGGGCAAGCCAG
Molecule: non-coding RNA, 30 nt
Filed under: Cricetulus griseus (Chinese hamster)
Lineage: Eukaryota; Metazoa; Chordata; Mammalia; Rodentia; Cricetidae
Source: RNAcentral